RNAcentral lists this non-coding RNA (73 nucleotides) under uncultured Angelakisella sp. Its description in RNAcentral is "Cyclic di-GMP-I riboswitch". It matches the Rfam family "c-di-GMP-I riboswitch aptamer", at positions 3 to 73 of the family's 87-position model. Rfam says of the family: GEMM was predicted in a large-scale screen for bacterial structured RNA regulatory elements. Genes associated with GEMM are involved in a diverse array of functions, including chemotaxis regulation, signal transduction, secretion and chitin. Lineage: Bacteria; Bacillati; Bacillota; Clostridia; Eubacteriales; Oscillospiraceae. The record is from RNAcentral.
AUGAAUACGGCAAACCCGCCGAAAGACGGGGACGCAAAGUUUAGUGUCUAACCCGGUAAAUGCCGGUAUGAUG